AGUGAACGCUGGCGGUAGGCCUAACACAUGCAAGUCGAACGGCAGCACAGUAAGAGCUUGCUCUUACGGGUGGCGAGUGGCGGACGGGUGAGGAAUACAUCGGAAUCUACUUUUUCGUGGGGGAUAACGUAGGGAAACUUACGCUAAUACCGCAUACGACCUACGGGUGAAAGCAGGGGAUCUUCGGACCUUGCGCGAUUGAAUGAGCCGAUGUCGGAUUAGCUAGUUGGCGGGGUAAAGGCCCACCAAGGCGACGAUCCGUAGCUGGUCUGAGAGGAUGAUCAGCCACACUGGAACUGAGACACGGUCCAGACUCCUACGGGAGGCAGCAGUGGGGAAUAUUGGGCACUGGGCGCAAGCCUGAUCCAGCCAUACCGCGUGGGUGAAGAAGGCCUUCGGGUUGUAAAGCCCUUUUGUUGGGAAAGAAAAGCAGCAGGUUAAUACCCCGCUGUUCUGACGGUACCCAAAGAAUAAGCACCGGCUAACUUCGUG
RNAcentral lists this ribosomal RNA (492 nucleotides) under uncultured bacterium. RNAcentral's name for it is "partial 16S ribosomal RNA". It matches the Rfam family "Bacterial small subunit ribosomal RNA", at positions 29 to 507 of the family's 1533-position model. The record is from RNAcentral.